GAGGUUGGGCUGACACCUUUUGUCCACAGGCAAGCGCAUGCCCCCCGAGGUCUACGUGUUCCUGCCACCUGAGGAGCGAGGGGGCCAGGACAAGCUCACCCUCACCUGCCUGAUCCAGAACUUCUUCCCCGUGGACAUCUCGGUGCAGUGGCUUCGCAACGGGCAGAUCCACAAUGACCAGCACAGCACCACAGCGCCCCUCAAGACCAACACCUCCCACCCCUCCUUCUUCAUCUUCAGCCGCCUAGAGAUAACCCUGGCAGACUGGGCACUGAAUACCAAGUUCACCUGCCGCGUGGUCCACGAGGCACUUCCUGGCCGGAGAACCCUUGAGAAAACCGUGUUCAAGAGCCCUGGUAAAUGAAGCCACUCUGCCAGCCUCCCCCCACAGGGCUCAUCCAGCAGGGCAGGAGGGAGGCCAUCCAGGCCUGUCCACUAGGCCUGUCCACUGUUGUGAUGCACCAGGAAGCCACCCUAAUAA
Non-coding RNA from Ictidomys tridecemlineatus (thirteen-lined ground squirrel), 481 nucleotides. NCBI's taxonomy places the organism in Eukaryota, Metazoa, Chordata, Mammalia, Rodentia, Sciuridae. The record is from the annotation of a RefSeq genome assembly.